UCAGAUCUAAGUGUCUAGAGGUCGGGAGAACCAAGUGGGAAAGACCCACCCUCACCCCUCACCCUGUAGAAACUGGGAACACUAGAAGGGACAUUUUCUGAGCAGGAAACCCAAGAGCAAGGAGAAGCAGCAUUGUGGUUUCAGGAGAUGGGUCCAUUUGGAGCAGGAUCCUAAGUGGGGCUUGGCAUUGGGAAUUUGGAUUAGCUCUAGAGGACGCAGGAUCUGGAAAAUCAGGGCAGAUUUCCCAUCCCUUGGAUAUGGUGGGGAGUUGAGGAGGGCAAGGAAGAUCCCAGAAAAGCCAGUGGCAGCAAAACACAAAGGCCAGGGACCUACGUACUGGUAAAACUGAGACCUCCAAGAAACCUGCAGCUCGACCUGGUUGAAUUCAGG
This 390-nucleotide long non-coding RNA is filed under the name Homo sapiens (human). RNAcentral's name for it is "non-protein coding lnc-OR7A17-2:2". The record is from RNAcentral. Lineage: Eukaryota; Metazoa; Chordata; Mammalia; Primates; Hominidae.